CACACUUACACCAUGAUGGGAGCCCAAAAGUGUAUAUUUGUAAUUCUGGCAGUUAUCACUGCCCGUUCUGCCAAUACCAGGGUCAGAGGCUUCAGGUGGAAUACCAUGCCAAAAGCCAUUCUUCUGUGAGGCACAGAGGUCUGAACAACAGAGGUCGCAAGACUGCAAGAGGCGACGGGAGGAAAAGGCAAUGCAGGAUGAAGAGGUUCCACAAAAGAAGCAGGCCAUAAUUUGAAUGCGUCAUGAGUGAGCGCUGCUGGGGGGGAACUGUUACAAUCUGUAUUAGGUUCACUAAUGCCUCAAAAUGUAAUAGUUGUCAGAAUCUGUCUGUGUUUUAUUUUGUCCUGUCCCUGUCUCUGUGUUCAAUAUAAUUGAAAGUCCUGAAUUCAAAGUGUUUCUUAAGUAAAAGAGUAUAAGUAUUAUCAGCUAAAUGUACUCGAAGUAUCAAAAGUAGAAGUACAUGCGGAAUGGCUCUGUUCACAGUAUUAUAUUACCAUUGAUAUUAUCCCGUCAAUUCUAUCAAUUUGUUAAUACGUUGGCACUUUAAUAUAUUUUUUAAAAUACUGGUAGGAAAUAAUGUGAUAUGAUUUCAUUUAUAUCACAUGUUUUUCAGUAAAAAGUGAGUAAAUAUACAAUAUUGACUCUGAAAUUAAAAUCAAAUUAAAAAGUUAAAAAACAAAUGAAGGCCCUUUCUUGAAGUCAUAACUGAAAUAAUUGAUGCAAUUAACAUGCAAAUAGACAUUAAAAUAUGCUUUGAAGGCUGUUAAUGUGUUUAAUUUGAGUUUUACAUUUUUAAAUGCCGUUGCCAUGGCGACAGAUCACUCGCCAU
Gymnodraco acuticeps is the source of this 829-nucleotide long non-coding RNA. RefSeq lists it as uncharacterized. The transcript is spliced from 3 exons. Lineage: Eukaryota; Metazoa; Chordata; Actinopteri; Perciformes; Bathydraconidae. The record is from RefSeq and is a predicted model, not a curated record.